This 665-nucleotide ribosomal RNA is filed under the name uncultured Tulasnella mycobiont of Riccardia palmata. RNAcentral describes it as "eukaryotic LSU rRNA". The stretch from base 539 to 665 matches the Rfam family "Eukaryotic large subunit ribosomal RNA", at positions 1 to 128 of the family's 3401-position model. The record is from RNAcentral. Lineage: Eukaryota; Fungi; Basidiomycota; Agaricomycetes; Cantharellales; Tulasnellaceae.
GUGAACCUGCGGAAGGAUCAUAGUAAACGUCUGUUGACGCACGAUCGCACCGUCCACGGGACGCUAAGACGCUCUGGCAGAGGAUAAACCGCCCCCAGUGUUACCUUUGGGCACACGUUAAAGACCGCUCAGCCUCGUGAGUCUCACACCGUUGUGAAACGAAACCACAACCGGUAGCAUUGGAUCCCUUGGCACGUCAUUCGAUGAAGACCGUUGCAAAUUGCGAUAAAGUGAUGUGAUGCGCAAGUCCACCACUUAUACGUGAAUCAUCGAGUUGUUGAACGCACUGCACCGCGCCCUAAACCGGCUGCGGUAUGCCCCUUUGAGCGUCAUUGUUCCGUUCGUGGGCCCCAUUGAUUUGGGGUUCCGAGUCCGGAGUCCUCGGUCCCCCCCGGGAUCGUGUUCUCCAAGAUCCAGCACGCUCGCAUCCGGGUUGGGCUCUCUCAUGCUUGAGUGUGGAGGCCCUCGUCCCUGGUGCAGCGUCCGACGGCGACCUGAGCGCACGUCAGCAAGCCCCCCUCGGGGGAGCUACAGAUCAUGACCUCAUUGGGGUAGGACAACCCGCUAGACUUAAGCAUAUUAAUCAGCGGAGGAAAAGAAACUAACCAGGAUUCCCUCAGUAACUGCGAGUGAAGUGGGACCAGCUCAAUGUGUGAAUCUGGCGG